RNAcentral lists this transfer RNA (79 nucleotides) under Chloroflexota bacterium. RNAcentral's name for it is "tRNA-Asp". It matches the Rfam family "tRNA". Rfam says of the family: Transfer RNA (tRNA) molecules are approximately 80 nucleotides in length. The record is from RNAcentral. Lineage: Bacteria; Bacillati; Chloroflexota. RNAcentral also lists the same sequence under 2 other names.
GGCCCUGUGGUGUAGCCUGGUUUAACACACCGCCCUGUCAAGGCGGAGAUCGCCGGUUCAAAUCCGGUCGGGGUCGCCA